GAGAGAGGUAAAUUACUAUUAGCGCUCAUUCGUAAACUGCUAACUUGCGAACCCCUGGUUGGAAUCCGGGGCUCUUCUCG
This 80-nucleotide transfer RNA is filed under the name Plectropomus laevis (blacksaddled coralgrouper). RNAcentral's name for it is "tRNA-Ser". The record is from RNAcentral. Lineage: Eukaryota; Metazoa; Chordata; Actinopteri; Perciformes; Serranidae.